GUGGGGAAUUUUGGACAAUGGGCGCAAGCCUGAUCCAGCAAUGCCGCGUGCAGGAAGAAGGCCUUCGGGUUGUAAACUGCUUUUGUACGGAACGAAACGGUCCGGGUUAAUACCCUGGGCUAAUGACGGUACCGUAAGAAUAAGCACCGGCUAACUACGUGCCAGCAGCCGCGGUAAUACGUAGGGUGCAAGCGUUAAUCGGAAUUACUGGGCGUAAAGCGUGCGCAGGCGGUUGUGUAAGACAGGCGUGAAAUCCCCGGGCUCAACCUGGGAAUUGCGCUUGUGACUGCAAGGCUGGAGUGCGGCAGAGGGGGAUGGAAUUCCGCGUGUAGCAGUGAAAUGCGUAGAUAUGCGGAGGAACACCGAUGGCGAAGGCAAUCCCCUGGGCCUGCACUGACGCUCAUGCACGAAAGCGUGGGGAGCAAACAGGAUUAGAUACCCGAGUAGUCC
RNAcentral lists this ribosomal RNA (450 nucleotides) under uncultured bacterium. RNAcentral describes it as "partial 16S ribosomal RNA". It matches the Rfam family "Bacterial small subunit ribosomal RNA", at positions 354 to 796 of the family's 1533-position model. The record is from RNAcentral.